This 1134-nucleotide long non-coding RNA is filed under the name Macaca fascicularis (crab-eating macaque). RNAcentral describes it as "lncRNA (ENSMFAG00000065369.1)". The record is from RNAcentral. Lineage: Eukaryota; Metazoa; Chordata; Mammalia; Primates; Cercopithecidae.
AUGAUUAAUCCAAACUCCAAAGCCCUAGAAAGAACAGGCGGGGCCCAGUUUCCCGAAGUGUUCCAACCACUUUUUCAGCAACAGUCACCUGCUUGGCUACGAGCCUCCGGACCGCCGCGCGCUAGCUGGUCCGCCCCAUGGGGGCCACGCACCGGGUUCCGCGUCCCUGCGAGGCGGCACCUCCUGGGCCCGGCAGAGCUGAGCACCUGGGAACCGCGCACCGAGAGCCCGACGGGGAGGUGGUUAGCUGGAACCGGCUCCUCCAGGCGGCCUCGCCCACUGCAAUGCAAUCUGGGUGGUUUUUCCAGGUCCCUCCCUGCCUCCUUCCGCGCCCAGUCCCUGCCCCCGCGACGCCCGAGGGCCUGGACAGGUGGCUCGGAGUUACCGGGGCUAGGGAGAAGCGAGGCCACUGCAGCAAGCCUGCCGGAAUCCAUUUAUGACUCCGCACUCCGAAGUCCAGGACAAGGAAGCACCCAACUCUGGAACUCAAGCAGCGGACGAGGGAGGUCUCGAACGCCGUCGCAGCGCUGCGAGUGUGGGACCCUGGCCUUCGCCCGCUCUAAGGGGACGCGAGCUGCUACCCGCAUCACGGGAGGCCCCGCCUCCGCCUGCACCUUCUCCUGCCAGGAAACGAGACGGCACGGGCCUCGGGCUCCUCUCCCCCCGUCCCGGGAGCCUGAACCCCCAGUGGGAAAGCCGGGCCUCCAGCUUCCCUUGACACGCGUUCUGAAAGGAUUUGUACCCGGAGUGGGUUCGGCAGGGAUAGGUGCAUGGUUGCCCGUUUCACAUCAUGAAUAUGAACGGGGCUGGACACCUGGAGCCGAAUUAGUAAUACUUCAGACAGAAUUCUGUUCCCAAGAACAAAUCGCUUUGAGAUGUAUAACCCGAGAAAACUUCACCCGUAGCGCUUUUCUCUCUAAAAUGUCAACAAGACCCAACAACAUACUGCCACAGAUGUGGUGGCUGGGGGUGAUGGUGGGGGGGCACAAGCCUCUGGCAGACCAAGCUGAGGUAGAGCAAGGAAGGUUGUUUGGGAGCUUGGUCAACACACUCCAAUACAAUAACAAACGCAUGAGCAGAGGGAAUGGGAUCAGGGCGCAGAACCUGGGAAGAAGCCUGCUUGGCCCGAAUUAA